UGGAUGGUAAAGAAUUUAGAAUAUUAGGAAAGAAUUAUGCUGUCUGUUCUCUGUCUGCUGCACAUUUUUUAAGAGAAAUAAACAUUUUAAAUUUAUUUUUUUCUCACUCAAUAUAUUUCUCUCUAUUCUUUCUCAUGUAGCCCAUCAGGCCAUGUGGAUACUUUGCAGAGAGAACAAAGACAGAUAUAUGAGUAGGAAGGGAGAGAGGACUCAGUAUAACUACUUUUUGCUUUCAUAUAUGUCUUUUUUACUGGUAUAUUUCCCCUCAAGAACAUUCACAGGGUGAAAACAACAUAAGGGCUACUGAAAAUAUGUAGCAAUGUACUGCAUGCUUUUUAUCCUCAUUAAUUCGAGACAGAUAGCAUUUGAAAGUAAAAUAUCCCUCAAUAUCACUACAAAAAAAAAAAAAAAAAGCAAAUACAAGAUGAGCAAUGCAGUGCUUGUUUCAGUGAUCUUAGCGUGAAGUUCAGUGGGCUGUGGGUGUAAAUGUUCAGAGAUACCCUGUGUGGUAGUGGGUUCAAGAGAAAGGUCUGUGGGAUGGCUCCUCUGUGUUUCCUAACUAGAUAGGUAUGCAGUCAUCAAAAGGGCACUGGUUGUAAGCCCUCGUUGUUGGAGAGUAUAGCAAUGGUGAACUCACUGUUCAUAUCCAAUGGGGGGUCUAAAUUCAAUGGGACCUUGGUGGGAAAACCUGAAUGCUCAUCUGUGAGAGCAGCAAGUGAAUGAAAACCUCACUCAUUGCACAAGCAUUUGCCCUGCCCAUGCAAUCUAAGCCACCAGGAAGUGCAUUUGUGCUCUGCUGAGAGGCUGCCAUGUUUUACUUUGACAGGACCGAAGCCAUCAGAGGGUUCAUGCCCAGAUGUAUCUCUUUGUUGCAGCACAUGUUGGCAUGCUCCGAUGCUGAAAGUGAAGGUUUGGAUACCUAUCCAGUGCAAUCUCAGACACAUUAUUAAAAGAUUGGCUCAGGACUUUCUUCCUGUUCUCCCUGUCCUUUUGCUUGGAAGAUCAGUUGCUAUGACCAAAAUCAAUCAACAUUUCAAGGCUCCUGGCACACACAUGUAAAGACAAAUCACUUUGUCACUCCAUUAUUACAAUUAUGUGAUGGGAAGGAGAAUGCAGUCCAGAAUACAGGAUCCCCAAAUCUUCAACCCCAAAUGCCCUUGCAGAUGAACCCUCUACUUACCUAGCAAGAAAAGAUGUAGGCUUAGUUUCACAGUAUGUAGCUUGGCUCUGAUUCUGUGUAUGAGAAAGCUUACUGUAAGACCAAAAUCAAAUUAUCUCUAUGUUCAGAAGAUAGUUACCAUUAAAUUCAUCUCUGCGCUGUCUAAUUUAAUUUUCAGAUUUUUGCGUAG
RNAcentral lists this long non-coding RNA (1349 nucleotides) under Anas platyrhynchos platyrhynchos (common mallard). RNAcentral's name for it is "lncRNA (ENSAPLG00000020602.1)". Lineage: Eukaryota; Metazoa; Chordata; Aves; Anseriformes; Anatidae. The record is from RNAcentral.